Molecule: long non-coding RNA, 839 nt
Organism: Lates calcarifer (barramundi perch)
Lineage: Eukaryota; Metazoa; Chordata; Actinopteri; Centropomidae
Exons: 3
Source: RefSeq, a predicted model, not a curated record
CCACCCUGCCAACAAGUGCGCAUGCGCCACAGUAUUUAAUCUUCCCAGUGAGUUAACCUGCAACACCUUUUGACAGUAAAAUGUUUAGACAGAAGUUUUAAAUACAACGUUUAACUUGUCUUUUGGCAUUUCGUGUGAAGUUCAGAAGGUGCGUGUACGCUUUUUUUUAAUUCGCCCGGCUCAGAAAGUUACUUUUAUGACUUUUUUUGGGUCAAAAGGCUCAAAAGCUAGUUCCGCCUUGCUUUCUCCCUGUGAUGGACAGCAGCGACAAGUGUCAAAAGUAAUCAAGGGUCAACAAGAUACAGGGAAAACAGGUCUCCUGCUUUUUGGAUACAUUUCAACACAAGUUAAACGGUUACCAGAAAAGUGGUGAUGACUGUGUCCUGGCAAAAGGAGUGUCAUUAUCACUUUUCUGUUUAGUUGUCCUGCUGGAACCAGAAGUCACAGCCAAACUGCAAGGACAGCAUUUUUGAAGAUCCAAGAUCAGUGAUCUUCAGUAGAAGAGCUGCUGACUGCUGAGCUUCGGACACUGUGAUGGAAAAUCCUGGUAAUAAAAACUCUUUUUAUUGAUACUGCAAUUUAACAUUUGUUAACAAGCUUUCAUACAAAGACAACACAAAAAUAUAAAAAAAUCCUGAAUUGACUGUAGUGAGACUAAUGUUAUCGCAACUGUAGUAUCAUGAUGACAGAAAGUGGUGAGUCAACAAACACUGUGCUUUGGUAUGAAGCUGUCCAUUAAGGGGUUGGCCCUGUGACGCAUGGUGCUGUUGACACUGUGGCUAUCUGAUUGGCCCUCACCCAGAGGACACACCUGUAGUUGCCGGUUUCUCUCACAGCCA